This 575-nucleotide long non-coding RNA is filed under the name Amborella trichopoda. Its description in RNAcentral is "long non-coding RNA (ATRI_LNC000476)". The record is from RNAcentral. Lineage: Eukaryota; Viridiplantae; Streptophyta; Magnoliopsida; Amborellales; Amborellaceae.
AAUGAUUCCACCUCUUUGCCACCCAUAAACACAAAAGUGAUGCGUGCCACCAAAACAUGGUGCAAUUUGGAGAGAGAUAAAAAUUGGGGCAUGCCUCCUUUUGGUAAUUCAAAACCCUUUCCAGAGAGAGCUAAAUUUUGGGGUAGGAAGAGAGAAUUCUUAAAGAGAGAAAAGAUAAUACGUAUCUCAUUUUAUAAUGGGAGACCUCAUUUUCUAGAUUUUCUAUGUCAUAGAUUUUACCUUAAUUCAUAGGCCCAAAUCUCAACCGUCGAUCUAAAGAGACUUGUAGGGUGAGAGAUUUGAGCCAUCAAUCUCUUUGAUCCACCAUCAAGAUUCAAAGAGAUGAGCUAGAGCCUUAUCCUACAUUUCCUAAAUCUAUUCUCAUCAAAUAAGAAAAACUUAUAUUUUAAUAUAUCCAAUCCUUAAUUAUUAGAUCAAUCAAUCUUAAUUCAAAGAUUUAGUAAAUAUCUCAAAUAUUCAACCUUAUCACAUAAGUUGGCUAUACCUAAAAAGAUAAGGCAAAAGGAUAAACAUUAUUCCCACGAAUGUUACGUGAAUGGGUGGGGACGUGUCAC